CCAAAAGAGUUGGUCAAUGCGAUUACUCCCAAGUUGGAAUAUCGGAAAACCGAUGAAGA
Molecule: non-coding RNA, 59 nt
Filed under: Lactobacillus crispatus ST1
Lineage: Bacteria; Bacillati; Bacillota; Bacilli; Lactobacillales; Lactobacillaceae
Description: Transposase-1 RNA
Rfam family: Transposase-1 RNA
About the family: Lactobacillales (Firmicutes). Environment (Human Microbiome Project, vagina)
Source: Rfam by way of RNAcentral